This 497-nucleotide ribosomal RNA is filed under the name uncultured bacterium. Its description in RNAcentral is "partial 16S ribosomal RNA". It matches the Rfam family "Bacterial small subunit ribosomal RNA", at positions 28 to 507 of the family's 1533-position model. The record is from RNAcentral.
GAUGAACGCUGGCGGCGUGCCUAAUACAUGCAAGUCGAGCGAACAGACGAGGAGCUUGCUCCUCUGACGUUAGCGGCGGACGGGUGAGUAACACGUGUAUAACCUACCUAUAAGACUGGGAUAACUUCGGGAAACCGGAGCUAAUACCGGAUGAUCUAUUGAACCGCAUGGUUCAAUAGUGAAAGACGGUGUUUCUGUCACGUAUAGAUGGAUCCGCGCCGCAUUAGAUGGUUGUUAAGGUAACGGCUUAGCAAGGCAACGAUGCGUAGCCGACCUGAGAGGGGGAUCGGCGACCCUGGAACGGGACCGCGGACAAGACUACUGAGGGAGGGAGCAGUAGGGAAUGGUACGCAGUAGGGGAAAGCCUGACGGAGCAAGGCCGCGUGAGAGAUGACAGCCUUCGGAGCGUAAUGCUCUGUUAUUAGGGAAGAACAAAUGUGGAAGUAACUAUGCACGUAGUGACGGUACCUGGUAAGAAAGCAACGGCUAACUACGUG